UGACACUUUGUUGAGAUGAACCAUCGCUGAGACGUGACUUUUAAAGUCCGAAUGUGUAAGAUUGAGCCCCUUCCAGUUCAAGGGUGUGAAAAACCAGACAGUUUUCUGUCACCUCUGGCUGUGCAACGGCGCGACGGUUACUGGCGUAGCUCGGCCUGCUGGGUGGCGUGAGUGGGAGGGGCUUCGGGGGUCGAUAGAAUGAUUGAUGAAAGGACAGCUUUUUUUAUUUGACAACUAUAAAUGUGAGCCGAUGUGAUUUUAUUGAUGACCUUAUUUGAGUCUGUGGUUCACUCUGUUCCCAUGCAGGAGUUCCUCCUGUCCUCGAAUGACCUAGAGAACUUGGAGGGGGGUGCCAUGGACAAGUCUAGCCUGCUCCUCCGCUCCUCCUCGAACGCGUUCCUGCUUCGGAGCAGCUCCAGAGGCGACGGCACCGUGCCUUCAGGGACCCGUCGAGAAGGUUCGGUGGGCCAGGGGGUCGUCCUGGUGGUGGACGAGGACACCGACCUGUUCCACCCCGUCUUCCAGGGGGUAGGGGGUCAGCUCAACCCCCAGUGGAAGCCCCCCAGGACGGGCGCAAAGGGCCACCACGAGGGCAAGGCCGGAGCUCCCUUCAAAGGCCUGGAGGAGAACACCACAACCGGGAAGAGGGUGGAGACCGACUCGGGGGCCAGAGGGGAAUCCCUUCUUCCUGGAACCCCCAAGGGGGACAUUAUCCUGGACCUAGACACAAGGACCGGCCCCAAGAAGCCCUCUGGUACAUUCCCUGAUGGCAAGAUCCCCUCUGGAGAUCACACAAGGAACCCUGGAGCAGACGACGUGCAGGAGGGUGGCUCCUCCACUGGCUCUGCCGGGACCCCCUCAGGCAAGAGGGUCCCCGGGGAGAGGAGCGUCAGCUUGGACAACGCCAUCGAUGAAAAGCACCAGGGCUUCGUUGGCGGCGUAUCCGGAGACAGGGACGUGGCCCUGGGCUCAGACGGCCGCUGGUACAGGCUACAGAGAGGGGCCCUUGGACGCAUGGGACCUCCAGGGACAGAAGGCGACCCCGGCGACCCUGGCCUGCCCGGUUUUAAAGGGGACAAGGGGAAGUUGGGCCCCUGGGGUCAGGCAGGGAGGCGGGGGGACCAGGGCCCUCCAGGACCACCAGGGCUGCCCUCCCUCUACCUGUGGAAGAACACUGCAGAGGAGUGGGCUGCCUUUCAGCAAACCAACUUCUUCCAUCUCCUGAGAUCAGGCUGGCCUAGUACAGAAGGAGCAGAGGGACCCCCGGGGGAGAUGGGCAGGCUGGGGAAUCAGGGUCUUCCUGGUGAUCAGGGAGAGCGAGGGCGACCAGGGAUAAUGGGCGAGAUGGGUGAACGGGGAAACAGAGGGGCUACAGGCACGCCAGGGAUCCCAGGAAAGGAUGGGCAGAGUGGGCAGCACGGGCAGCAAGGACCCCCUGGACCUCCAGGACCAAAGGUGGUGGCAAAGAAGCCAACAAACCCAAACGACACAAUAAUACCACAGUAA
RNAcentral lists this long non-coding RNA (1506 nucleotides) under Gadus morhua (Atlantic cod). RNAcentral's name for it is "lncRNA (ENSGMOG00000036724.1)". The record is from RNAcentral. Lineage: Eukaryota; Metazoa; Chordata; Actinopteri; Gadiformes; Gadidae.